GGAAGUGUCAAGUAGGCUUCUCUCUCAGUGUUUGAUCGCAUGGUUAUAAUGUCUAACGUCAGUUUUGACCAAUCACCACGUGUUUCGAAGGCUUGGAUCGCUCUGAGACGACUUGACAAAAAUGAUGACAGAGUGGUGGCUCUUCGAGAAGUGUCUAUUCCUCCAGCCGCUGAGGUCAACAAGGUCAUUCAGAUUAUCACCACUACCUUUGGCCUGAACUCUUCCGAUGUCAUAUUCAAGUUAAGGAACAACCGCGGCUGUCUGAUCCCUCUCAACAGCUCGAUCCCUGCCAACAGCAAGCACAUGCCUUUUGUACUUGAGGUAGCCAAGAUCUUCCAGCAUGUGCGUCCGGAGCCCCGAACCGUUCCCAUGACCGUAAUCAACAAGAGCAUGAAGACCAGACUACAGACCAUUGAGCAGAGGGUAGGUUUACCAAGGGUUCAUUCCGGUUCUUUCAGCGGUGAUCAAGUGUUUAACCCGGAGUCCUUCCUCAGUAUUCUUUGUUUCUUCAAGUGUCAACGAGGAGGUUAUCUAAUGCACAAAACCUCUGCCAAUAACAAAAUACAAAAAAACAUCUUGUCUGGUAAGGUAAGAGAGAGGGUAAGGAAGUUGUUUUCCUUCAGAAGACUAUAAGUGUUUAUAUUUUUGUGGUUAUGUUUUUAAGAUUCAGCAUUAAACAUUUGGAAUUGCCAAAGAAAAGGCACAAAUUAAAAAAUUAAGUUUUCAAAUUGUAGGACUAAUGGUGCAGAAUUUUUGUGGCCAGAACCAGCUCAAGUUCAACUGUUUUAUUGUAAAUGUAUUAUUUUUUACAACUUGCUUUAAGAUUCUGUGUUUUAUUGCAGAUUCAAAGACUGGAGGAGCUUCUGCCUCAGAUCGAACUCAGACGCAAUGAAAAACUAAGCCAGGAGAUUGAAUGUCUUAACCAGAAGUUGAGGUUUCUUCAUAAGAGAAUGCAGAUGGUAGAUUCCCUGAGCUGGAAGGGGGUGCUGACC
Pungitius pungitius (ninespine stickleback) is the source of this 992-nucleotide RNA transcript. RefSeq lists it as uncharacterized. Lineage: Eukaryota; Metazoa; Chordata; Actinopteri; Perciformes; Gasterosteidae. The record is from RefSeq and is a predicted model, not a curated record. The transcript has 8 exons.